GUGUUUGCUUUGGCAGCACAUACACCAGGAUGAGAACGAGAAAGAGAAGAUUAGCGCGGCCCCUACGCAAGGAUGACAGGCAACUUCACCAAGUGUUCCGUAUUAAA
This is a small nuclear RNA of Perognathus longimembris pacificus (Pacific pocket mouse), 107 nucleotides long. The record is from RefSeq and is a predicted model, not a curated record. Lineage: Eukaryota; Metazoa; Chordata; Mammalia; Rodentia; Heteromyidae.